Cavia porcellus (domestic guinea pig) is the source of this 13264-nucleotide long non-coding RNA. RefSeq lists it as uncharacterized. The record is from RefSeq and is a predicted model, not a curated record. NCBI's taxonomy places the organism in Eukaryota, Metazoa, Chordata, Mammalia, Rodentia, Caviidae. The transcript has 4 exons.
AGAAAAGAGAACGCUGUCUGAGGUGGUGGCGCUGCGCGGUGUGGUUGCAUUCUGAGGUGUUUGUUGAGAGGAGCUUCCUCAAUCACCAUGUGACGCCUUCUACCAUGUUAACCACCCAGAAGGUUGUUAUGGCUUGAGUCUGGAUGUCUCCAAAAGCCUUGUGCAGUCAAAGAAAUGGGCUUCUACAGUUUGUGAAUGACUCAUAGUCCAAUACUGGGAUUAUGGGUUGUUCUUCUGCCAUGAUACCCUGCCUUAGAGCCAGCUGAGUAUGGACUAAAACCUCCAUAGCCAGUGAAGGGAGCAGUCAAAGCUGUGCAGGCUGGAGCAAGGUCAGCCUCAAGAACACAGAGUGCCUGAGGCAAGUCACCUGAAUAAGCAGCUAUGGCCUCAAGAACACAGAGCGCCUGAGGCAAGUCAUGUGAAUAAACUGCUCUAGGCUCAAGGACACUGGGGCCAGAGACGCCCUGUGGAGAAGCUGCUUGGUAGAGGGGCUUCACAUGAUGUCCAACCUCUUGGUAUAUAAGUAGACAUGCUCCAGCCCUUGGGGCCCUGCCUCCUUUUCCCUCCUCCUUCUUCCUGCUUCCUCUUCCUCCCUUCCUUACUUCACAUAUCAAGAGAGAGAACUCGAUCAGGCCUUUUUUCUGUAUUCUGACUCUUGUCUUUUUUCCUUCAUUCUCUCCCCAUUCUCACCCUUAGAGCUGAUUGGGACAUGGCAAUUUCUUACAGUUCUAGAGACAGGGAAGUCUAAUAUCAAGGUGUUGGUGUCUGGCUAGAGCUGUGUUUUUUUUUUAAAUUGCAUUAUUCUAUGGAAAAAGGCAAGAAAGUGAAAGAGAUAGAAUUGCCAUCCAUAGUAGGGUGUGAUGGCACACUCCUGUAAUACCAGCACUCAGGAGGGAGGUUGAGGCAAGAAGAUUGCUGCAAAUUCAAAACUAGCCUGGGCUACAAAGUGAGCCCAAGGCCACCAGCUGGAACUGUAUAGGGAGAACUUGUCUCAAAAAGAAAAAACAAACUCCCAUCCACAAAUUCUUUCCUGAUUUAUAUUAAUCCCUUUAUGAGAAUAGAACCCUAAUGACUUAAACAUUUCCUAUUUUUAUGCUAUUGCAUUGGGGAUUAAGUUUCCAAAAAGGGCUUCUGAGGUACUUAGGCCAUAGCAUAACUGAAGUGUCCAUUAAUAGAUGAAUGAAUAAAUGGAAUGUGAUAAAUGCAUAUAAUGAAAUAUUGUCAUUCAUAAAAAUGAAAUUCUGAUACAUGCUACAACAUGGAUGAGUCUUAAAAAUAUGCUGAGUGAAACAAGUCACCAAAGAUAAACAUUGUGUGCUUCCACAUAUAUAAGGACCCAAGACUGAGCCAAUUCAUGGAGAUGAAAUGUAAAUGAGUAAAUAUAAAAGUAAUAGUAUGUGCAUAGAAUUUAAAAAUUACAGAUGUCUCAAAAAAUUAUAGAUGUCUGGGUAUGGUAGUACAAGUCUAUAAUCCUAGCAUUCAGAAGACUGAGGCAAAAGGAUUAAGAGUUUAAGGACAGCUUAUUUUAUUAAAAACAAAUUAUAAAUCAUUACUUUUGGAUAAAGAUGGGAUAGAAAGAGAAUGGACAUAAGACUGCUUUUUUUUUUUGGUGCCAGGGAUCGAACUCAUAACCUCACGCUUGCCUCAUAUUGUGCCGCUGAGCUGACUGCUAUUUUCAUUAUAACACUUUUAGCACUAUUAUAUUUUUAAACUAUGUACAUAUAAGAGUUUAAUAAAAUAAAAUGAAUAAUUUUAAUAAAAAAUUUGACCACAUAAAAGAAUAGAUAUGAUAAAAAGGAUGAAAAUGAAGUAUUAAAUGUUCAACUAUCAAGAAUUAUAGACUUUUAUAGCUUUAGUGAAAUGAUCACUAAGAUUAUAUAUACAGCAGAUACUUACUGAUUGGAGGAAUUUCUUACAACAGAACCUUAUAGUUUUUUCCUUUUUGUAUAUGUUAAACAGUAUUUCUUUUAAUUGCUAUGUAUUGAGCAGAAGAAUGCAGGAUAACCGGAUAGAGUAUACCGUAUCUGGCAUAAAACUGCAGAGUUCAAAUAUCUGUAGCAUCACAUGGCCUCAGUAAAAAAGCUAUAUCAGAGUGGCAUCAAAGCAGCCUAUAUAAUUUGCAUAAAAUAGCUCUUUUUUGGGGGGUAGAAAUACAUACAUUCAGAGAAAAAAAUAAACAGUAAGAAAUCACUAGUUGAUGUUUACAUAUUUUCGUUUUACAAAUAGUUGUUCAAGAUACAAAAAUGGAACAUGUAAAGUGGGAAUUCAAACAGCAAGACUGCAAACAGUUUUGUUCAACUGUCCAACAAAAAUUUAGUAACAUGGUUGUCAAUCCUAUACACUUAAACAUACAUGCAGUUAUCUGUAUCUUCAUUUAUGUAGAGAUUAAACAAACUAAAGCAGGUUAAAAUCAUUCUGAACAAAGAAUAAUAGUAUUGCUGGAUUUCACAUCAUGACACUCUGUGAUCAGCACUGGGUACUGUAGUGUCUUUUUUUUAAUUUAAUUUAAAGAAAGACUAAACAAAACAAAAUGGGUAGAAAUAAUACAUAAUUUCCUUUUUUUUUUUAAUUUUUUUUUUUUUUUUUGUCUUUUUCCUUUUUAUCAGUACCGGGGAUCGAACUCACGACUGCCUGCUUGCAAGGCAGGCGCUUAUGCCGCUGAGCUAAAUCUCCAGCCCCCAAAAUAAUACAUAAUUUCAAAGGAAAAAAUAAACAGUAAGAAAUCACUAGUUGAUGAUUACAGAUUGUCUUCUUAUAAAUAGUUAUUCAAGAUACUAAAGUGGAGCAUAUAAAGUGGGGAUUCAAACAGUGAGAUUGCAACCAGUCCUGUUCAGCUAUCCAACAAAAACUUAGAAAUAUAGUUAUCAAUCCUAUACACUUAAACAUACAUGCAGUUAUACAUAUCUUCAAUUAUGUUGAGAUUGAAUAAACCCAAGCAGGCUAAUAGCACUCUGAACAAAGAAUAAUACUGUUGCUGGGUUUCACAUUAUGACACUCCAGGAUCAGCACUGGGUAUUUUAGUGUCUCUUUUUCUUCAAAGUAUCUGUUCAUUUCAUCAUGUGUCACAAGAUCAGUUCUCAUAAACUGUUUAUAGAUUCUACACAUGCAUGAAUCUUAACAUGUAUUUCUAUCCUUUCUAUACUAGAGGGAGAAACAAAACAAAGCAAGGCAAAACAAAACAUAUUCCUAUAAACACAUGAAAUGAAAUAAACAUAUAAGACCAUUAUACAGAGUUCUACCAUGGUUCCUGUGUUGUCUCUAGUUAUCUCCAAUAGAAUUGGCUAUAUCAUCAGACAUAGUAUAAUUGAAUAUAUCAGUACAUAACAGCAUUAAUAAAAACACAACUUUGUAUAUAGUAUAGAACUUCAAAAACCAGCAGUUAUGAAACCUGAAUGUGUAUUGUAGAGUCUUAUCAUCUUCAGUGUAGUUGCCUAUACUCUCAGACUUGAUACUAUCAAUCGUAUCAGUUUUGAAUAAAAUCUUCUCUGCCUCAUUUCUAUUAUGCUGUUUGUUGCCAUCAAUUGUCUGCUUAAGUUCUUCAUUCUGUUUUCUGCUCCAUUCAUUAAGGCCUCUCUGCCACUGUUCCUAGAAUCCUAGUGCUUUUCUCUCUCUCUAGAAUUCCUUGCAGUAUUCUCUGUAGAGUUGGAUUGGUGGUUGCAAGUUUCCCAAGUUCCUCUGUUGUUUGGAAGCAUCUUGUUUCUCCAUUAAUUUCUAGAGACAGGGGGCUGGGGAUUUAGCUCAGCAGCAUAAGCACCUGCCUUGCAAGCAGGCGGUUGUGAGUUUGAUCCCCAGUACCAGAAAAAAGAAAAAAAAAAUUUCUAGAGACAGUUUUUCGGGGUAUAUCAAUCUGGGUUUGAGGUUAUCUUCUUUCAGGGCUUGGAAUAUAUGCUCCAGGUUCUUCUUGACUUGAUGGUUUGUGUUGAGAAGUCUGCCGUUAUUCUGAUGGGCCUUCCUCUAUAAGUUAUCUGUUUCUUGUCUCUAACAGCUUUCAAUAUUCUGUUCUUAUAUUGAAUUUCUGGUGUAUUGAUUAUUAUAUGCCUGGGUGUAGCUCUGUUUUUGUUGUAGGUGACUGGAGUUCUGUAUGUCUCAUAUAUCAGAAUAUCAUUUCCUUUUCCUAUGUUUGGGAAGUUUUCCUUAAUUAUUUCUGUGAAUAACCAAAGGAACCUAGUUCCUUUGUUUGUACCCCUGCUUCUUCAUUCACAUUCUUUAUUCUCAAGUUAUAGAUCCUUUCGUCAUCUUCUAGCCCUUGUAUUGUUACUGCUUGUUUCCUUGUUAUUUUUAAAAAGUUUUCCCUUUCAUACUCCCACAUUGCAAAAUUGUCCUCCAGUUUGGAUAAUCUAUCCUUUGUUUCUUUCAAGCUGAUUUGCCAUCUUUCCAUAGAGUUUUUAAUUUCCUGGUGAUCUCUUUGAAUCUGCUUCAUGUAUUCUAUAUAUAUAUUUUUUUGUCUUUUUCGUUUUUAUCGGUACCAGGGAUCAAAUUCACGACUGCCUGCUUGCAAGGCAGGCGCUUAUGCUGCUGAGCUAAAUCCCCAGCCCUCUAUACUUUUUUAAUAUUCUUCACCAAAUAGUUUUAUCCUUUGUUUGAGUUCCUUCCUUCUGUCUGUGUCUGCUUGAGGGGUGCUUAGUGUUUCUUUUAUCAAUCUUCUUAUAUCUUGCUUUAUUUGGCUAAAUAUUUCACUUUUGAACUUGUCUAUUAGGUCCUUUAUAUAUCUCUUUAGGUCCGCUGUGUCUGAUAUUGCAUGUUUGCUGUUCUCAUUCUCCUUUGUAUUUCCUGUCCUGAGUCCAUGUUCUCAGGGUUGGAACCUGGGGACUUUUUGUUGUUGCUUCCUCUUCCCAUCUUUUUUGCUUCUUCCAGGAGGCCCCAGUUUCUUUCUUUGUUGGUUACAAUUCUCCUGAAGCACGCUGGCUAGAUGACCCUUCACACUGCCGUGUGCUAGUGAGUUGCAGACAAGGACAGCAUAUGCUGGCCCCUCCCCUCCGGAUCAGUCAAGCUCUUGUGGCCUGCAGUGUAUUACUUUGCGCUGCCUCCUCUCCAGAUCAGUCAAACUUCUGAGGCUUAACUGGGUUAGUGUGGUUAGUCAUAAAAUAGCUCUUAUUGAAUGUGUUUUAAUAAAAUCACUUUGGAAGGUUAAAUUAAUUAUGAAUCAAUCUCCUCAGUUCCCCUUCGUAAUAUUACAGCAUUUCCAAGCAUUAUAUAAGUUAAAAAUUGACAAUAUUGCCUUUGUAUGGAACACAGUAGUAAAUGAGAAGGCUGCUAAUGGCCUGGGGAGAACAAAGAUAACUUGGGCUCCAACUAUCCUAGACUCCAGCUGAUUGCAAUAAUACCUGAGCUGAUCAGUGUAUCUACAUACUGUAACCUAUACAUGGCACAUUGGUGAAAUUUAGCACAUCAUAGUACCUUGGUGUAUCAGUUAGGAAUCUCUAAUCCAUGACCUAAAUUAAUACUUUUUUUCUAAGAAAAGGAAGACCUAUAUUUGUAGAGGAAGAAAGGAAUUAAGUAAAGAAAAAGAACAAAGUUCUUUAGGAUGCUAAAGGAUAAUAUAAUGCCUAAAUUUCAUAUACCACAUACAUAUGAGAUAUGUAGUAAAUAUAUAAUGUAGUCUAUAUACAGUAUAUAGUACUAAAAUGCAUAUUCAGUAGUUUCAGAAAAAGGAAGGAACAAAGAAAACAGAUUUACUAUAUGCUGGGCCCUAUGUUGGGUGCUUUCAAAAAAAUAUAAUAAUAUAUAGUAGAUAUUGUUAUCCCUGCUUUAAAUUAAGGAAUAUUUUCUGAGGUAAAAUAACCAUGCACAUAUGAUGAUCACCCAGCCAAUAAGCCCUUCUUAUGAAAAUUUUAUAAACUCACAGUAAUUACUUUCAUCUGUUCACUGUCAUUCCUUUUACUGAUAAGAGAAGUGUAUAAUCUGAGUUUAGUCACUGUAGAAAAAUUACUAAAAAGUAUUAUAGGACAAAGGAUUUGUUGUAAGAAUUAGGAUUGAUUAAACUGUGGGAGGAACUUCAGAAGUAAAAGACCAUGAAAUAGUCACAUGAUACUCUGAAAAUCUAAGAUGUCCAGACAUUGAAGAGGGACUAAGGAUCAUACCUCUUAUAUAGCUGCAAUCUGGGUAUGGUAACCAAAGUCUAAUAGUAGACUUGAGGGUUUUUUUUUUUUUUUUUUUUUUUUUUUUUUGUCUUUUUCAUUUUUAUCGGUACCAGGGAUCGAACUCACGACUGCCUGCUUUACAAGGCAGGCACUUAUGCCGCUGAGCUAAAUCCCCAGCCCCUAGACUUGAGGUUUUUGUUGGUCAGCAGUAUAAACAGGAAAUAAAUGAAGCAGCCAUGGUAGCACAUAGCUGUAAUUUCAUCAUUCUGGGAGAUGUAGAUAGAAAGAGGGAAAGUUUGAAUCUAACCUGGGCAAUUUGAUGACUUUGUGAGACUCUGUCCCAAAAUUUUUUUAAAAAGAGCUGAGGAUGUAGCUUAGUGUAAAAGCUCUGGGUUUAAUCCCCACUACCAAAGAUGGAGGAGGAAGAGGAGGAGGAGGAGAAAAAAGAGAACUGGGUAUAAGUAGAGCAAGAUGUCAGCUACUGGUCACCUUUGCAUCUCUGCUACUGCGUUGAUUGCAUCCAUACGGUAAUGCCGCUGCUUCAUUUAAUCAAUACACAUUCAGAUGUACCACUCAAAAUCCUAUGCAUUGGAAGGAUUUCCUCUCACUGCUGUUCUUCAAAUGGAAAGUAUAAUUCCAUGAUGACAUAGUGAACUCCACAAAAGUCCAUGCUUUGCCAAGUUGGCACUCACACAUACCAUCUUAUGUAACUUGUAUCAUAUCAAAAUAGUCCUUCUGCUAUAUGUAACUUCUAUAUACAUAUCAAAACUGUCCUUCUGCCCAACAUGAUUCAGUUAUAUUUUACAACCAAAAACACACUAGUCCUUCCUGCAACCAAGACAUAAAUUCACCAUAUCCAUUUUUGAAGAUAUUAAUUUGUCUUUCAACUGAAACACACUCUCCAUUUAUUACUAUAUUUUAUGUUUUUUAUCAGUUAAAUGUGAAAAUGGAAAAAAGAAAAAUCAUUUAUAUCAAAGUAAGGAAGAAACAUUUCCUACUGUGAUCCCUUGAUCACAUGAUUAUAAAUGGUAUUUAAAACUUCUUUUUUCUACUGAUAACCUAAUAAUUCCCAACUGUUUUUUUCCUUAUCAUUUUGGACGAGUGCAAACCUGUACUUCUGAAGAGUCUUUUCCAUUAACACUGCUGACUUUAUUGGUUUGAUGUACUGUUUUCUUUCUUCUUUUCUCUUUCUUUCUCUCUUUCAUACUGGGAUUGAAGCUUUGCAGUAGGCUAUAUCUCCAGCCUUUUAUUUUGAGACAAGUUAAUGCUAAUUCACUAUCCUUCUGUCUCAGCCUCCCAGAGUGCUGGCAUUACAAAUGUGUGCCACUGGGGCUGGGGAUUUAGCUCAGCGGCAUAAGUGCCUGCCUUGCAAGCAGGCCGUCAUGAGUUCAAUCCCCGGUACCGAUAAAAAGGAAAAAGACAAAAAAAAUAAUAAAUAAAUAAAAAUAAAAAACAAAUGUGUGCCACCACUUCUUUCCUUAAUUUUUAUUACAGGGUCUGGGUAUACUAAGAGGAAUCCCCAGUGUAUUGCUUAUUUCAGUCAUGUUUCUUUAUAUCCAUUAUGCUUCAACAACCUACUUUCCCCUUAUGAAUGUUAAUUACUCUCUACAGUACAGUAAUUUUCUUUUGCCUGUUGGUUUACUAGCAUAUAGAGCCCCAAAAUACUAGGUGAUUUUCAGUCUAACAGAAUUGGUGUGUACACUGGUUGGAACAUUCUUCUUUUGGGUAUUAACCUUUGGACAGUGGAGUCCAAAGUUGGGGGAUAGGAAGAAAAAAAUUACCAGUGUAACAUUAAGCGUAUUUAGAAGAAGAUACACCAGGGUCCUUGAUUCUGGGACUCAUGAAUCCUAGUUUUGCCACUAAAUCAAAAUAUAUAAUGUAGGCUAGAAGAAAUUGCCUCAGUCCUGCAAAGUGUUGAGACCCAGCUGGGAUCAAAAGCCUUCAAAAUGCUUUCCUUGGCUUCUAGUUUCAGCUCAGAAGUAGAGGCUCUGCCAAUCAUAGUGGUGCAUGCCAGUAAUUCCAGGACUGGAGGCUGAGGCAGGAGGAUCACUAUGAGCUUGAAGCCAGCCUGGACUACAUAGUGAGUUCAAGACCAGCCUGAACUACGUAGCAAGACCCUGUCUCAAAAGUCCAAAAUGGAAAAGAAAGAGAGGCAGAGAGAGAAAAAGAGAGAGGAAAGAGGAUAGAGGAGAAAGGAGAGAGGAGAAAAGACUAUCACUCCCUCCUUACAAUAAGAAAAAUAAGAUGGACAAAUGCAUGCCUUUUCUUUAUUUCAGCAUAUAUGUUAUAGUUUAUAUUUACAUGUCUCCGCAAAGCCUCAUGUGUUUAUAGAUGGAACCUUUGACUGGAUGACUGGGUGACUGGAUUAUGCCAGUGUGCUACUAGAUUAGUCCACUGAUGGGUUUCUAGCGGGGGAGGGGAAAGGUGAUGUUGAGAGAUAAAGCAUGGUGAGAGAGGGUGGGUCACUGUGGGUGUGGGCUGGAAAUACAUGUAUCUCCUUCCUGCUCUCUUGAUUGCUGCUGCUUCCUGCCUCGCAUUCCCAUUUGGCCUGCCACCCUGCCUUGGAGUGAGCUGGCUAUAGAUUGAAACUAUAAACUAUGAACCAAAAUAAACCUUUCCACAUUUCACUUGGUGUUGAAUAUUUUGUCCCAGCAGUAACAAGAAAGUAGCUAAGACAAUAUGUAAGAUUAAAGGACAAACAAUAAACUUGAAAUCGGAGGACAGGAAGAAAAAACUAAGCUAAUCAGUUCUUACCUUGGGCUGAUACUUCUAAAUGCCUUCUAAUUUUCCAGUAGGGAAUUCAGCUAAUAAUUAUUUGCCAGAUUGCUGAACACCACAUAUAAGCCAUAGUGAUGGUAUGAAACUCCUACAAAACACAGAUAUGUAAGAGAUUUCACACAUUUACAAUCUUGUCCUCUAGGAACACAACCCUGCGCUCUCACAGGGAAGAUUAGGAAAAUCCUGAGAAUGACAACCUCACAGUGGUAGGGAGGAGAAAGGAAUGCCUGACAUUGCCUAAACACAUCUCUCCUAACUCGCUGCAAAUCAAAAGCCUUAAUUUGCAGUAGGAAAAACAACAAAAGCUGUAGGACAAAAGAAUUUUUUAUUCCUGGAGAAGGAAAAAGAGAUAUGUCUAAACCUUGUUGUAGAUCUGUAGGAAAUGGAAAAAAAGAACAUCAUACCUGAAUGCCUAAAUUUAUAGUGCCUGACUAAAGCUAUGAGUUAAUCUGAACACUACAGAACGUACUCUUUCUUACCCACCACGUUCAUGCUAAAAGCAAUUGAUUUUACAAAUAACAGUGAAGGGGCUGGGAAUUUAGCUCAGUGGCAUAAGCACUCCUUGCAAGCAGGCAGUCAUGAGUUGGAUCCCCAGUACCGAUAAAACACACACACACACACACACACACACACACACACAAAUAACAGUGGAGUACAGUUGGGGAAGUCAGAUUCUUCCUGAGAGGAAUGUGAAAGGAAGACCAACAUGAUCCAAAUUUUAAAAACAAUGAUGGAGUUGAAAAAAAUCCCUUUAAUGAGUUUAGUAAUGUUCUCAACACAGAUAAGCAAAAAUUAGUAAACUCAAAAUUAGGUCAAUAUCAAGUAUCCAAAAUAAAAACUCGGUGAAAAAGAGAAUGAAUAAAAAAAAAAAAAAGAUAUGAAAAAAACAUCAAAUGUUCUAAUAUCAACACAGUUCAAAUCCUAGAAAAUACUGCUAUCUGAAUAAAUAUCUGAAUACAUACUGGACAAAAGCUUUCCAAAGUGUGUGACAGCCACUCAGUCAUAGAUCCAAGAAACCCAGAGAAUGCCAAGCAGGAUAAUUAUCAAAAUCUCACAAUUUAGGACUUAUCAUUUUUUUAAAAGCUGCAAAUGAAAGACAAAAAUCUCAAAAGAAUUCUGAGGAAAAAAAAAAGACACAAAGUAAGAAAAGAUUAGGAUUUUAUUAAAUAUCAGAAAUUAUGCGAGUAUGAAGACAAUAGAAUGAUAGUCACUCCAAAAUGCAAUGCCCAAUAAAAGUGUGCUUUAAAAAUAAAAGUGUUCUCAGGGAAACAAAAACACAGAUUUAUUGCCAGAAGAAUUACUCUACUAGAGGUACCUUUUUAAAAAAGUUCUUAGAGGGGCUGGGGAUUUAGCUCUGCGGCAUAAGCAUCUGCCUUGCAAGUAGACAGUCGUGAGUUCGAUCCCUGGUACUGAUAAAAAAAAAAAAAAAAAAAAAAACUUAAAAAGUUCUUAGGGAAAAUUUAGCUCAGUGGUGCAGCACCUGCCCGGCAAGAGUGAGGUCCUGAAUUUAAUUCCUGGUACAAAAAAAAAAAAAAAACACAGUUCUUGGGGGACACAGGCUCUAGGAAGGAGUAGAGAGGGCAGAUUAAAGGUAACAAGUAAAUGGUUUGGAGUCUGAGGACUAGAGGCCAAGGUUCUAGAUGGGCAAAGAGGCAAGGUAAUCAAGUGGAAGCAGUUUAGAGCUGUGACAUGGGGUGCUUGGAGCUGCGACAUGGUGUGUUUGGAGAAGCUGGGAAGCAACUUUAGGGACAAGGAAUCUGAAGAUUAUAAUAAUUUGGAUCUUACCAGAAGCCUGAAUUCAGUACUCCAUAGUAUUGUGGGUCCUGAAUGUUUGGAGAACCCAAAUCAAGGGAUCUUGAACUCCAAGAUGCCAUAGCAGAGGGGGUACCAGGAAGCAUUCGAUAUUUAGGUCUUAGACCCAGAAUGGGAGUUUGGAAAUGAAGUCCACAUGUAUAUUUGGAAGUCAGGAAAAUUGGAGAGGGCUCUCAUUAGAGAAAAUGGGAGAGGGCCCUCACUAGAGAUACCCAGUCUCCCCAUGGGGUUAGAUGGGAGAACAUUUGUUGGGCUUGAGCACUGUGUUUGGACUUAGGUCUCUGGACACAAGGACAGUUUGGGGAAAAAUCCUAGAUUUUUUGGAGUCUUAGGGAACUGGGAGAAAGCAGAUUUAGAGCUCGAGUCAGGUUGGAGAGGUAUAUAAAAAAAAAGAAGAAAAGAGAAAAAAAAGAAAGAAAAGUUCUUCACAGAGAGAGAAUAUUAUAUAGUUUGGAAACUUGUACCUGUGCAAUGUCAGAAACACAAUAGAUGGAGGUAGGCAUGGUGGCACAUGCCUGUAAUCCUAGCAUGUGGAUGCUGAGGCAGGAAGAUUGCUGUAUUAGAGGCCGCUCUACUCUGCAGAGUGAGUUCAAAGGCAGCAGCCAAACUACAUAGCGAGACCCUGUCCCAAAAAAGAGCCAACCAAACCAAGAACAAUAAAUGAAGGGAAAUAUUUUAAUACUUUAAUUGCUGUUACAGGUAAUUAAUACAUAAAGCAAAAGGUCAUUGUUCCAUCCCAUCAGGUCAGUAUUUCAGGUAAUGGGAAAUGUGGUAAAACCAGUUAAUUCUAUGAGCAUGAGUGCAUCAACACAUUUCACUUACUACAAAACUAGCUCUUUUGUUGAUAGCAAUAUUCUUUGGUGGUUAUAGCUGGGUGUGAUGAUGCACACCUGUAAUCCUAGUACUUAGGAAGCUGAGGAAGGAGGACUGUCAUGAGUUUGAGCCAGCCUGCAUUACAUAGUGAGUUCCAGGGCAGCCCAAACUAUAUAGCAUGACCUUGUUCGUUAAAAAGGCUUUUUAAAAAAAUCUAAAUUUUAUUUUAAAGAGAAUAAAACCAAGCAAAAUAAAACAGAAUAAACCCAAUCAAAACAAAUCAGUGUAACACAGGACUUCAAAACCGUAUGAAAUCAACAACGUUACCAUAAUUGUUGUCUUCAAAAUAACUGUAGAUAACUUCAGACAUAGUAAAAAUCCAACAAAACAAAACAGAAUAGAACCAAUAAAAACAAAACAGUGAAUAAAGAACUUCACAACAAGACAAUAGUAAAUCCAAAAUGGCUACCAUAAUAUAUCUUGCUAUCUUUGAAAUAGCUGCCCAUGCCAUUGAACAUAACAGAAUCAAACAAUGCAAAACAGAAUAAAACCCAACUCAACAAAACAGUGAAAUGAUACAAGUCUUCAGAAUAAGAUAACAGGGAAUUAACAAUGGCUACCACUUCAGAAGGAGAUCCCCAGUAGAUGCCAUACUAUGUACCAUUAUCCUCUGAAUAGAUGAUGAGACCACCAGCCCUAGACCUGCAAAGUCAGUGAAACACAAAACACCACAAGCAUCAAACUGUAUUUCACCUGAAUAGCUAUCGUUACAGCCUGUGUUUCUCUGGAUCAGCCAGUGGCUUACAGGAGUGGGGAGAGGCAGGUGCCUCCUCUUGUUUCCCAGCCCACACGUCAGAAUGGGCUGGGGUCUGGCUGUCUGCUCAGCAGUGGUGGCCUGGGUAUGGUGCUGGUUCACAGUGAAGGCUUGCUUCUUGGUGAAUUCUUGUUCCAAAAAGGCUAUUUUUAUUGCACAAGAUGGUGAUAGAAGUUCAAGGACAGCAUGAACUAUAAAGUAUGACUGUGUUUCGAAAAGUAAACCAAAAAGUCAAGUAAAACAAAUGUGGAGGCCAACAGGGAAAAAGGAAAUCUACAUUGUUUGUGGGAAUCAAACAAGUACAACCAUUAUAGAAAUCAAUAAGGAGUUCCUUUAAAAAACUAAAAAUAGUGGCUGGAGAUUUAGCUCAGUGGCAUAAGCACCUGCCUUGCAAGUGCACAGUUGUGAGUUCCAUCCCGGGUACCAAAAGAAAACAAACAAACAAAAAAAAAAAAAAUAGAAAUUCCGCUUAGCUAUUCUCCUAGGUAUCUUCCUGAAAGAGUUAAAGAUAUCGUAUUACAGUGACGCAUGCAUACCCAUGUUUACAGCAGCACAACUCAUAAUUGCUGAAUCUUGAAAGUGGCCUAUAAACCCAUUAACAGAUGAAUGGAUAAAAGAAAUGUGUUUAGAUACAAUAGAGUACUACAGUGCCAUAAAGAAUGAUAAAUUUGAAUCAUUUGUAGAAAAAUGGAUGAAUCUUGAGAUAAUAUUAAAUGAGUUAAAUGAGACACAUAAACUUGUAUGAAGAACCCAAAGUAUAAAAAAAGAGAAAAGUACAAGAUUGAUAAUAGAAAACAGGGAAAUAGAUGUUUUGCAAAUGGGAAAUGGAUCAAGAAAUGGAGUGUCAGGGAAGAAGGGAAGGGAAAGGAAAAAAAUUAAGAUGUAUUAUGUAUAUAUACUAACUACCAUGAUGAAUGUAUUAAUUGUGUACUGCAAACAAGAUCUAAUAAAAAUAGUUUGAAAUUGA